Molecule: ribosomal RNA, 496 nt
Filed under: uncultured bacterium
Lineage: Bacteria
Description: partial 16S ribosomal RNA
Rfam family: Bacterial small subunit ribosomal RNA
Source: RNAcentral
AUGAACGCUGGCGGCGUGCCUAAUCCAUGCCAGUCGAGCGAACGGACGAGAAGCUUGCUUCUCUGAUGUUAGCGGCGGACGGGAGAGUAACACGUGGAUAACCUACCUAUAAUACUGGGAUAACUUCGGGAAACCGGCGCUAAUACCGGAUAAUAUUUUGCACCGCAUGGUUCAAAAGUGAAAGACGGUCUUGCUGUCAUUUAUAGAUGGAUCCGCGCUGCAUUAGCUAGUUGGUAAGGUAACGGCUUACCAAGGCAACGAUGCGUAGCCGACCUGAGAGGGUGAUCGGCCACACUGGAACUGAGACACGGUCCAGACUCCUACGGGAGGCAGCAGUGGGGAAUCUUCCACAAUGGGCGAAAGCCUGACGGAGCAACACCGCGUGAGUGAAGAAGGUCUUCGGGUCGUAAAGCUCUGUUGUUGGGAAAGAACAUAUGUGGGAGUAACUGUGGACAUCUUGACGGUACCUAAUCAAAAAGCCACGGCUAACUUCGUG